RNAcentral lists this long non-coding RNA (874 nucleotides) under Numida meleagris (helmeted guineafowl). Its description in RNAcentral is "lncRNA (ENSNMEG00000014047.1)". Lineage: Eukaryota; Metazoa; Chordata; Aves; Galliformes; Numididae. The record is from RNAcentral.
UCUCUCUUUAGAAACCCGCUAAAAAGAUUGCCCGAGGACGUCUCAGUACUGCCUGAACCUUUUAUUGAGACUAAGUCACUGAAGAUCUUUAAGGGGCUUGCUAGAAGUCAUUUCUUGUAGCUUUAAGCCAGCAUUGAUACCACGCCGUGAGGUGCUCUAGAAGGCUCUGGAAGAUGCUGGAAGGCCCAGGUGUAAAACAAGAAGCCCAGUUUAACCACGUCCGGUUGGAAAGGCCCACUUCAAAAUCAUCCAUAUUCCCCCCAUCGUAAAGAAGACUAGAGACAUCCAUCACGCUACAAGACGCACACGGGUGAUCCUAGUUAUCAACACCGGGUGCUGUGAGCUUGUGAGUGAAUGGCAGUAAAUACGAGCAAGACCAAUUUUAUUUAAAAUAAGCAUUAAAAUCUUGCACUGAGUUCAAAUUUCAUUCGGUAGGAUUCAACGAGAGAUGAGGCAAAGAAAAAAAAAUCGAGAUACUUUUUUGUAUUAUUAUUUGCUCUUGAAUAACUCGUGAGAGAAUUAAAACCUACCGUGCUGUUUAGAGCAUCACAAAGCUAAGCACGCUGUCUGUGUGCCUGGUGACCUGCCCAUCUCCAAAUGCAUCCCUGUUGACACUGCUUCGUCAUCGCACUGAAGAUGAUUUACACAUUACGUGAUAUUAUGACUAUACCCCUGGUCUGAAGUAACUGCUACAGGCACAGGUGAAUGCACCAAUCUUCAAUCAGGGUGCUGGCAGCGACCUCAAUCCUGCUAAAGCUCCAGUCAUUUCUGGGAAACUAAGAGAAUUCAGCCACGGUUUCUGUGCUCAAGGUACGACCUCUCCAUCCCAAUUGAAUCAUUCAAAUUGCUUCUGAAAUAACAGCUGAGAAUGCUG